Long non-coding RNA from Phyllostomus discolor (pale spear-nosed bat), 541 nucleotides. RefSeq lists it as uncharacterized. The record is from RefSeq and is a predicted model, not a curated record. The transcript has 2 exons. Lineage: Eukaryota; Metazoa; Chordata; Mammalia; Chiroptera; Phyllostomidae.
UAUCUACCCAACAUGUUGAAACUUCUGUUUUUCAUCUGUUUACCUUUGCACCACAUUUUAGGAGAAACCCUUUGCUGGUCCUUCAGGACAUUAAUUUGCUCUCCAGCAAUACUUCUUCUGCCAUUCAAUCAACCCAUCUACUGAGUUUUGUUUUCAGGAUACAACAUCAUUAUGCAUCUCCUAAGGACCAAUAUUUAUUUUAAGCAUAAUUUAGGAAAUCAUUAUCUUUCUAAGUAUUACAAGCUAUCUAAGAUAAUGCCUUCUUUAAUAGACCCAGGUGUCCACAUUCUGCUCUAUCAAAGCAGACACCUUAAUGCUUGCUGCCUUACACAAUGCAGGCAGCAUACUGCUGAGGUCAUUAUUUGUAUCCACCACUUCCAAGCCUGAAGCCUAUUUGGUCAUUUCCUGUGGAUUUUGGUUUACUUUUUCAAUUGGAUCCUGUCUGUUUUUAUAAUUUUUCAGAAACUCCACUUAAUUUCCAGUCCACCAAAGGCACCUAUUUUUAUACUCCAGUGUUAUUUUUUUAUGCAAACAAAUUGCU